Molecule: ribosomal RNA, 465 nt
Filed under: uncultured bacterium
Lineage: Bacteria
Description: partial 16S ribosomal RNA
Rfam family: Bacterial small subunit ribosomal RNA
Source: RNAcentral
GACGAACGCUGGCGGCGUGCUUAACACAUGCAAGUCGUACGGUAAGGCCCUUUCGGGGGUCCACGAGUGGCGAACGGGUGAGUAACACGUGAGUAACCUGCCCACAACUUUGGGAUAACGCUAGGAAACUGGUGCUAAUACUGGAUAUGUGCUCCUGCUGCAUGGUGGGGGUUGGAAAGCUCCGGCGGUUGUGGAUGGACUCGCGGCCUAUCAGCUUGUUGGUGGGGUAGUGGCCUACCAAGGCGGCGACGGGUAGCCGGCCUGAGAGGGUGACCGGCCACAUUGGGACUGAGAUACGGCCCAGACUCCUACGGGGGGCAGCAGUGGGGAAUAUUGCACAAUGGGCGCAAGCCUGAUGCAGCAACGCCGCGGGCGGGAUGACGGCCUUCGGGUUGUAAACCGCUUUCAGCAGGGACGAAGCUUUUUGUGACGGUACCUGCAGAAGAAGCACCGGCUAACUACGUG